RNAcentral lists this ribosomal RNA (495 nucleotides) under uncultured bacterium. RNAcentral describes it as "partial 16S ribosomal RNA". It matches the Rfam family "Bacterial small subunit ribosomal RNA", at positions 28 to 505 of the family's 1533-position model. The record is from RNAcentral.
GAUGAACGCUGGCGGCGUGCCUAAUACAUGCAAGUCGAGCGAACGGACGAGAAGCUUGCUUCUCUGAUGUUAGCGGCGGACGGGUGAGUAACACGUGGAUAACCUACCUAUAAGACUGGGAUAACUUCGGGAAACCGGAGCUAAUACCGGAUGAUAUUUUGAACCGCAUGGUUCAAAAGUGAAAGACGGUCUUGCUGUCACUUAUAGAUGGAUCCGCGCUGCAUUAGCUAGUUGGUAAGGUAACGGCUUACCAAGGCAACGAUGCAUAGCCGACCUGAGAGGGUGAUCGGCCACACUGGAACUGAGACACGGUCCAGACUCCUACGGGAGGCAGCAGUAGGGAAUCUUCCGCAAUGGGCGAAAGCCUGACGGAGCAACGCCGCGUGAGGGAUGAAGGUCUUCGGAUCGUAAAACUCUGUUAUUAGGGAAGAACAUAUGUGUAAGUAACUGUGCACAUCUUGACGGUACCUAAUCAGAAAGCCACGGCUAACGACG